UGUGUGACCCAGGAGGGGUGCCUUGCAAGCUGGCGUGACCCCGGCCAAGGCCAGGACAGACAACGACGCUCCUUUCCUCUCUUUUGCAGUCACACAGAACGCCUUCUGCAGUUUCUGCUCCGUGAGUUGGCAGCAGUGGCUUCUGUGAAACAGGCAGGCAGGCAGGCAGGCAGGCAGGCAGACCCCUCUGAAAGAAGAGCAGAACAAUUUAGAACCCACAUGGAGGAUUUAGGGUCAGCAAGAAGCCAGCAAUAAACAGGUAUGGAGUCCCCCAAAACCCUUUUGUUUAAAAAAACUGGCAGCAGUGGCUUCUGUGAAACAGGCAGACAGGCAGGCAGACCCCUUUGAAAGAAGAGCAAAAUGAUUUAGAACCCACGUGGAGGAUUUAGGGUCAGCAAGAAGACCUUGUACCAUUUAGCCAGCAAUAAACAGAAAGGUAGCGUUAAUGACAAAGGGAGAGGCGAGUUGCAAAACAGUUCAUUCUUGAAGGUGAAUUUUAGAAACGCAGCAAAAGUUUCCGCUGUCAGAAGGAAUCUUCCAAUGGCGUCUCACAGGUUUCCGCUCAUCCGAUUAUUUUUUGCAGGAACUGGACACAAGACCCCUAAGAUGGGUUGUUGUCGGCUUCUAGAGGAGGAGCCGAGAAGGCCAAGACAUCAUCAUCAUCAUCAUCCAGCGGAGCCAAGAACAGCCAAACCCUUUCCGCCCACCGAGGAUCGCUGGCGGCCUCUUCUCGCAUCUUUUUCUGGGCUGGCUGCAAACACCUGCUUUGCUCCUGACU
RNAcentral lists this long non-coding RNA (778 nucleotides) under Pogona vitticeps (central bearded dragon). RNAcentral's name for it is "lncRNA (ENSPVIG00000018521.1)". The record is from RNAcentral. Lineage: Eukaryota; Metazoa; Chordata; Lepidosauria; Squamata; Agamidae.